Seriola aureovittata is the source of this 1247-nucleotide long non-coding RNA. RefSeq lists it as uncharacterized. The transcript has 2 exons. The record is from RefSeq and is a predicted model, not a curated record. NCBI's taxonomy places the organism in Eukaryota, Metazoa, Chordata, Actinopteri, Carangiformes, Carangidae.
CUCCGUAUAAGAAGCUGAAAGAAAACUCAUUUAAGUGCGGAUACUGAUGUGGUGGACCGAGUAGGAGAAGGAGGAGAAGAGAAAGGCCAUCUCCCCCUGACCAACCUCAGAUAUCCCCGCCUGCACAGAUGUCUCCUCCGGGACCUCCACCUCAGCCCACCUCGUCCAGAGACAGUCCCAAGAGGAGACGGGGAAGAAAAACAACCCCCUCACCCCAAUGUCCCUGAACAGGCACAGCCCACAGCAGGGGAUGUGAUCAAGGCCAGGUUACAAGGCCACCAACCCAGCCAGGUUCUACAUCGAAGACGGAGACAGAUGCUGACAUUUCGCCUGAUCUCCCAAGGUUCACUCCAAAGCUCAGUCCUGUUGUGCAGCCACCACUUCUUCGAGUCAACAACACAAGCCCGCUGGAGACAUUCAAAACUUUUUUUUUGAUGACAGGACUGUAAAAACCAUCACCCACAACACAAACGAAGAUUCUCCUCGCUUGGAUGGACAUCACUCCUGUGGAGUUUCUCAUAAUCUUUGGACUGCUGAUAUUGAGAGACACGGAGGGCAAAAAUGUCCCAUUUCCCGUUUCAAACAGAUUCAUGACCCUCUCAUGCAUUUUUGCAUGAGUGAAAAAAAAGGCACACAGGAAUAUGAUCCCAAUAUGACUCAAUUCAAAAUUCCUGUGUACAAUCCUCUUCAAAGCUCAUCUGUGGAUAAAGGAUUGUUGCAACAAAAGGCCAAACUCAGACUGACAUUGUACCUUAGGCUCAAGUCAUCCAAAUAGAGUAUCAAACUCUUUGUUUAUGAGUGGAAAAGGUGUUUUGAAGGUCACUACUGAAAAAGGAUUUCAGUCUUGAUCUGCCUUUGGUUUGACUGUUUUUUGGACUUUUGGAAUUUGUUUGGACUCUUCGUUUAGACUUUUGGUUUAAUUCCUGUUUUAUUUUGAAUCCAUUGAUCUUGUGUGUUGACCUUUGUUUCACUUCCUGUCAUUUCGUUUUUUCCCAAUCAGUGAUUGUCUGCCCUGCCCUAGUCCCUGUGCUCCCUGUUGUCUUUGUCAGUUCAUCUGACAGUUUUGCAAUUGUGAAGUUUCCCCUUUAUCUCAGUGUUUUGGAUUUUCAUGUUUUGCUUCUGUUUUGCCCCUGUCAAGUUUGCUAAUGUCUCCUGGUGCUUCUGGUUUUUUGGUCCUAUGUUUUUGAAUUGUGUUUUGCAAGUCACCUUUUAUUAUUAAAAAACUAUUUUUGUUUCUGGUUACAAUA